UUAACUAUUAUAUAGUACUCAGACAUCAAAGAUUCAGGAGUUUAGGUCCUUUGGCAGGCGCGAUCCAGCCGAAGCCAGGGGCCUGCCAAAGCAACGAAGUUUAGUAUACAAAAGGGUGAGAAUAGGGCCGUGAGGCCUUGCAUUCUUUAAUGAUCCUUCCGCAGGUUCACCUACGGAAA
This 179-nucleotide unclassified non-coding RNA is filed under the name uncultured fungus. RNAcentral's name for it is "sequence contains ITS1". The record is from RNAcentral. Lineage: Eukaryota; Fungi.